GAUGAAGAACUUAGCGAAAUGCGAUAAGUAAUGUGAAUUGCAGAAUUCAGUGAAUCAUCGAAUCUUUGAACGCACAUUGCGCCCGCCAGUAUUCUGGCGGGCAUGCCUGUUCGAGCGUCAUUUCAACCAUCAAGCCCCCGGGCUUGUGUUGGGGACCUGCGGCUGCCGCAGGCCCUGAAAAGCAGUGGCGGGCUCGCUGUCACACCGAGCGUAGUAGCAUACAUCUCGCUCUGGGCGUGCUGCGGGUUCCGGCCGUUAAACCACCUUCAUAACCCAAGGUUGACCUCGGAUCAGGUAGGAAGACCCGCUGAACUUAAGCAUAUCAAUAAGCGGAGGA
RNAcentral lists this unclassified non-coding RNA (337 nucleotides) under soil metagenome. Its description in RNAcentral is "partial contains 5.8S ribosomal RNA, internal transcribed spacer 2, and large subunit ribosomal RNA". The stretch from base 1 to 120 matches the Rfam family "5.8S ribosomal RNA", at positions 35 to 154 of the family's 154-position model. The record is from RNAcentral.